RNAcentral lists this long non-coding RNA (1158 nucleotides) under Phasianus colchicus (ring-necked pheasant). RNAcentral describes it as "lncRNA (ENSPCLG00000013965.1)". The record is from RNAcentral. Lineage: Eukaryota; Metazoa; Chordata; Aves; Galliformes; Phasianidae.
CCCCAUACUGGUCUAUACUGGUCCAUACCGGUCCAUACUGGUCUGUACUGGUCCCAGUGCACCCAUACUGGUCCAUACCGGUCCUUACGGGUCUGUUCCAGUACCACCACCAGUACGAACCAGUACAGCUCCCGGUACCCCCGUACUGGUCCAUACUGGUCGGUACUGGUCCCAGUGCACCCAUACUGGUCCAUACUGGUCCGUAGCAGUACCAGAACCAGUACAAACCAGUACAGCUGCCGGUACCCCCAUACUGGUCUAUACUGGUCCAUACUGGUCCCAGCACCAGUACUAACCAGUACAGCUGCCGGUACACCCAUACUGGUCUGUACUGGUCCCAGUGCAUCCAUACUGGUCCAUACUGGUCCGUACCAGUACCAGCACCAGUACAAACCAGUACAGCUCCCGGUACACCCGUACUGGUCCGUACUGGUCUGUACUGGUCCCAGUGCAACCAUACUGGUCUAUGCUGGUCCGUACUGGUCCGUUCCAGUGCCUGCACCAGUACAAACCAGUACAGCUGCGAGUACCCCCAUACUGGUCCAUACUGGUCCAUACUGGUCCGUACUGGUCCCAGCACCAGUACAAACCAGUACAGCUGCCGGUACCCCCAUACUGGUCCAUACUGGUCCGUACUGGUCUGUACUGGUCCCAGUGCAUCCAUACUGGUUUAUACUGGUCCGUAGCAGUUCCAGCACCAGUAGAAACCAGCACAGCUCCAGGUACCCCCAUACUGGUCCAUACUGGUCCGUACUGGUCCAUACUGGUCCGUACCAUUACCGGCACCAGUACAAACCAGUACAGCUGCCCGUACACCAGUACUGGUCCAUACUGGUCGGUACUGGCUUGUACUGGUCCCAGUUGACCCGUACUGGUCCAUACUGGUCCAUACUGGUCCGUACUGGUCCCAGCACCAGUACAAACCAGUACAGCUGCCGGUACCCCCAUUCUGGUCCAUACUGGUUUGUACUGGUCGGUACUGGUCCCAAUACACCCGUACUAGCCUAUACUGGUCCAUACUGGUCCGUAGCAGUACCAGCACCAGUACAAACCAGUACAGCUCCCGGUACACCCAUACUGGUCCAUACUGGUCCAUAUUGGUCUGUACUGGUCCCAGUGCACCCAUACUGGUCCAUACUGGUCCGUACUGGUCCGUAG